This 254-nucleotide ribosomal RNA is filed under the name uncultured bacterium. RNAcentral's name for it is "partial 16S ribosomal RNA". It matches the Rfam family "Bacterial small subunit ribosomal RNA", at positions 524 to 776 of the family's 1533-position model. The record is from RNAcentral.
CACGUAGGGUGCGAGCGUUGUCCGGAAUUAUUGGGCGUAAAGAGCUCGUAGGCGGUGUGUCGCGUCGGCCGUGAAAACCUGCAGCUUAACUGUGGGCUUGCGGUCGAUACGGGCAUCACUGGAGUUCGGCAGGGGAGACUGGAAUUCCUGGUGUAGCGGUGAAAUGCGCAGAUAUCAGGAGGAACACCGGUGGCGAAGGCGGGUCUCUGGGUCGAUACUGACGCUGAGAAGCGAAAGCGUGGGGAGCGAACAGG